This 363-nucleotide long non-coding RNA is filed under the name Nicotiana benthamiana. RNAcentral describes it as "long non-coding RNA (NBEN_LNC014966)". The record is from RNAcentral. Lineage: Eukaryota; Viridiplantae; Streptophyta; Magnoliopsida; Solanales; Solanaceae.
CAAAAGCUAUAAAUGGGGAGAGAAAUUAAAAUUUUCAGUGGAGAUUUGAAGAACUGAUUUCAAAGCUUAAUUCCUCUAUUUCUGGGUCUUUGAAAAUUGUCCUGGACUUGAUUUUUCUGUUCGAUUCUCCCUAAUUUUGCUGUUUGCCGGAACCGUUGCUGAGCUUCGUCCUCAUUAUUUUUCACCUAACAGAGGAUGUAUAGAUGCGAAACCAAAUAUCAGUUGAUUCUUUGAUGGUUUGAUAUAGCUUUGUAAUUAUAAUCAGGUAAUUCUCUAUUUUAAUGCUUCGUCUUUCGUUUCUUUGUUUCGACCCUUAAAAUGACGAGAGUAGCCAACAAGGCAAACAGAAAGGUAAAACAUCUG